UACGAAGGGGGCUAGCGUUGUUCGGAUUUACUGGGCGUAAAGCGCACGUAGGCGGAUUGUUAAGUGAGGGGUGAAAUCCCAGGGCUCAACCCUGGAACUGCCUUUCAUACUGGCAAUCUUGAGUCCGGAAGAGGUGAGUGGAACUCCUAGUGUAGAGGUGGAAUUCGUAGAUAUUAGGAAGAACACCAGUGGCGAAGGCGGCUCACUGGUCCGGUACUGACGCUGAGGCACGAAAGCGUGGGGAGCAAACAGG
RNAcentral lists this ribosomal RNA (253 nucleotides) under uncultured bacterium. RNAcentral's name for it is "partial 16S ribosomal RNA". It matches the Rfam family "Bacterial small subunit ribosomal RNA", at positions 524 to 776 of the family's 1533-position model. The record is from RNAcentral.